GAUGAACGCUGGCGGUAUGCCUAACACAUGCAAGUUGUACGAGGGUUUCUAACCCAAGUGGCGGACGGGUGAGUAACACGUGAGAAUUUACCUUUAGGAGAGUGAUAACAACUGGAAAUGGUUGCUAAUACCUCAUAUGCUUUAGAGUGAAAUAGAUUUAUCUGCCUAUAGAAAAGCUCGCGGCUGAUUAGCUUGUUGGUAAGGUAAUGGCUUACCAAGGCGACGAUCAGUAUCUGGUUUGAGAGGACGAUCAGACACACUGGAACUGAGACACGGUCCAGACUCCUACGGGAGGCAGCAGUGGGGAAUUUUCCGCAAUGGGCGAAAGCCUGACGGGGCAAUACCGCGUGAGGGAAAGACGGCCUAUGGGUUGUAAACCUCUUUUUUCAGGGAGGAAUUCAAUGACGUGUACCUGAAGAAUAAGCAUCGGCUAACUCCGUGCCAGCAGCCGCGGUAAG
This 458-nucleotide ribosomal RNA is filed under the name uncultured bacterium. RNAcentral describes it as "bacterial SSU rRNA". It matches the Rfam family "Bacterial small subunit ribosomal RNA", at positions 28 to 524 of the family's 1533-position model. The record is from RNAcentral.